AUGCAUACGAUUUGAUUGAACAAAGCUUUAUGAAAUAUAAAGUUAAUUCUUGGUAUCACACAAUGCAGUGCUUAUAUUUAGCAUGCAAACUAUAAGUCACUUUUAAUAUUGGACUGAGGAAAUUUGUACAUUUCAUUUCAAUUUAAACGCCGAAGCAAAACGUUCAGGACUUGUUGAUUGAUGUCAUUGUCAAUUGUAAGUUAAUUCUUAUUCAUAUAUUUUUAGUUUGCUGUUCGUUGUGAUCCGAUGUUCCGUGUUGAAGUCCGUACCUUGACCUAUACAAUGCUAUAACGGUUUUCCUUUAUAAAUGGUUAUCUGGAUGGAGAGUUGUCUCAUUGGCACUCAUUCCACAUCUUUCUAUUUCUACUUAACAUAAGAAUUCAAUCGGGAAAAUGAACGACUAAUUUAAAACACAACGUUAAUGUGGCAAUCAUGAACAAAGACAACUACUGAACUACAUGCACGUCACUUGAGACAGGCAUAUAAAGCAUGUAGUGGGGUUAUUCAUGAUUGAAAGCGCCAAAACCACAAUCUUUGAGAGUGGUGUAAUAUAACAACAUAAGAACAAACUAUAAGAAUCCGUUCAAUUCAUCAGAAUUAUAAACACAAACAAUCUUUAAGUACAGAUCUUGGAAUACGUCAUUUAGUACGCGCUUGUUAAAUAAUUACACAUGUGUAGGUCUGUGAACCACAUUUGUGGAUCUUUGACAUAGUUAAAAACCUGAUCUUCAUAUCAAUUUUUACUAGAAAUUUGCCUGUGACGUGACUUUUGUGUCGUUGAUCAAGCCAUGUGAAAGACACUUCGUGUUUUUAUUGUGCUGUUUUCGUGUGUUGACCUAUAUUGUUUUAAUGAAAUUAACGGUACCAAUUUUCUUGCACCAGAUGCUUUUUAAGUGUUUGUGUUCGGUUUUAUAUGAUCAGCAUGUCAUAAUGUAAUAUUGCUUAUUUGUGUAUGUUUCUCUCCUGAAAGUGCUUGCAUUUAUUUUUACUGUAUUCCUAUCAUAUAAUGGUGUCAUUUGAGUGUUAUAUGGUUCGCUUCUGUGUGUUUUAAUGUCGUUUGUUUUUCGGUCACUUAAAUGUUUCUAUUGUUUCGUUGUUUUCCUGAUGUUGAUGUUGAUGUGUUUCCCUCAGUUUUAGUUUGUAACCCGGAUUUGUUUUCUCUCAAUUAAUUUAUGACUUUCAAACAGCGGUUUUCUACUGUUAUUUUACUGAUUGUAUAAUAUAUUAGUUUUAAGGAUGUUCUCUACUCUGUUAAAAAAUAACAAGCUUUUUAAAAGACGGUUAUGAAUUGAUAGUAUAUAAAUAAAGAAACUAAAAAAGUAGAAAAAAUGGAGGGUCCGUGUGGUCGUUUUCGAGAUAUAAGCCAUUAAAAAUUUGACGUGAAAUAAUUCUGUCUAGAUUUUUCAUACAUUUAACAUUGGAACCUCAUUUGUUUUGAAAACUAUGAAACAACAUGAAGAUUUUUAUAAACUUUUGAAAUAUGGCUUUUUAAACUUUAUGUAAUAAAAUCAUGAAAAGAAAAGAAGGGCUUAGUUAACAAAAUAUUUUAAUGACAAUACAUGAAUAAAACCAGAGGAUUCUGAAAAUCUGGUAAAAAAUAAAAAAAAUAGAGGAGAAAACAUCCUUAACACAACGUUUGGAGGCGUACGAACCUGUCACGUGCAGAACCCAAAAUCAUCAUCCCAAUGAUGGAAGCAUAGUGAUACAGAGGAACUAUUAAUUAUUUAAGAACCCUAAAUUUGUUCAUAAAGAUUUGAAAAAUCAAAAGCUUUAUAAUAUGGUGUAUACAAGUUUUGUUACUUUUCAAACUUAAACAUAUCAUUUUAAAAUCAUAUGUUUCCCGAAAUACUUUACUAAGAUACCAUAUUACUUCUGCAAUGUUUCAAGUUGUCAGUUAUUAUAAAAUUGAAGAAGACGAUAUUGUCAAAUAUUAGUCACUAUGAAAUCUCACCUUAAAAUAACCUUUUGAUAUGAUAAUACUUUUGGGGUCUGAUAUUCAAACAGGAGAGGUAUCGACACAGUGCUGUUAAAACGAUCAAGAUUCCUUAACCUUGGACGGUGAUGUAACAUUAUAUGUAAGAACAAACUGUCUCUUAUUUCUAAAAAACUAGAGGCUCUCAAGAGCCUGUAUCGCUCACCUGAUUCUACUUGGGUUUUUGAAAUCAUAUAAAAAAAUAUAAAAUUUGGCUAAAAGUGACAACACAACCUCAUUUAUAAGGAAAGGAACAUGUUUAAUUUCAUUCAAAAGUCCCCACUGGCGGCCAUCUUGGAUGACGGAUCGGCUACAAAGUAACAACACUUGGUCAGCACCUCAUAAGGAACAUUCAUGCCAUGUUUGGUUUUAUUCCAUUCAGUGGUUCUCUAAAAGAAGUCAUUUGUAUGCAUUUCCAAUAGGGUCCUAUGUUAAACUAAGUCCCCUGCUGGCGGCCAUCUUGGAUGAUGGAUCGGCUACAAAGUAACAACUCUUGGUCAGCACCACAUUAGGAACAUUCAUGCCAUGUUUGAUUUUCAUUCCAUUCAUGGUUCUCUAAAAGAAGUCAUUUGUAUGCAUUUCCCAUAGGGUCCUAUGUUAAACUAAGUCCCCUGCUGGCAGCCAUCUUGGAUGAUGGAUCGGCUACAAAGUAACAACACUUGGUCAGCACCUCAUAAGGAACAUUCAUGCAAUGUUUGGUUUUAUUCCAUUCAUGGUUCUCUAAAAGAAGUCAUUUGUAUGCAUUUCCAUAGGGUCCUAUGUUAAACUAAGUCCCCCGCUGGCGGCAAUCUCGGAUAAUGGAUCGGCUACAAAGUAACAACUCUUGGUCAGCACCACAUUAGGAACAUUCAUGCCAUGUUUGAUUUCAUUCCAUUCAGUGUUCUCUAAAAAGUCAUUUGUAUGCAUUUCCCAUAGGGUCCUAUGUUAAACUAAGUCCCCCCGCUGUCGGCCAUCUUGGAUGAUGAUCGGCUACAAAGUAACAACACUUGGUCAGCACCCCAUAAGGAACAUUCAUGCUAUGUUUGGUUUUAUUCCAUUCAGUGGUUCUCUAAAAGAAGUCAUUUGUAUGCAUUUCCCAUAGGCUCCUAUGUUAAACUAAGUCCCCGACUGGCGGCCAUCUUGGAUGAUGGAUCAGCAACAAAGUAACAACACUUGGUCAGCCCUCAUAAGAACAUUCAUGCCAUGUUUGGUUUCAUUCCAUUCAGUGGUUCUCUAAAAGAAGUCAUUUGUAUGCAUUUCCAUAGGGUCCUAUGUUAAUCUAAGUCCCCCGCUGGCGGCCAUCUUGGAUGAUGGAUCGGCUACAAAUUAACAACACUUGGUUAGCACCCCAUAACGAACAUUCAUGCUAUGUUUAGUUUUAUUCCAUUCAGUGGUUCUCUAAAAGAAGUCAUUUGUAUGCAUUUCCCAUAGGAUCCUAUGUUAAACUAAGUCCCCUGCUGGCGGCCAUCUUUGAUGAUGGAUCGGCUACAAAGUAACAACACUUGGUCAGCACAUCAUAAAGGAACAUUCAUGCCAUGUUGGUUUCAUUCCAUUCAGUGGUUCACUAGAAGAAGUCAUUUGUAUGCAUUUCCCAUAGGGUCCUAUGUUAAUCUGGCGGCCAUCUUGGAUGAUGGAUCGGCUACAAAGUAACAACACUUGGUCAGCACCCCAUAAGGAACAUUCAUGCUAUGUUAGUUUUAUUCCAUUCAGUGGUUCUCUAAAAGAAGUCAUUUGUAUGCAUUCCCAUAGGGUCCAUGUUAAUCUAAGUCCAUCUUGCACAAAAGUAACAUCACAAGUUUUAAUUCAAAAAGAAGUCAUUUGUAUGCAUUUCCAUAGGAUCCUAUGUAAACUAAGUCCCCUGCUGGCGCCAUCUUUGAUGAUGAUCGGCUACAAAGUAACAACACUUGUCAGCACAAUAAGGAAAAUCAUGCAUGUUGUUUCAUUUCCAUUCAUGUUUCUCUAGAGAAGUCAUGUUGUAUGCAUUUCCCAUAGGGUCCUUUGUUAAUCUAAGUCCCCCGCUGGCGCCAUCUUGAUAUGAUCGGCUACAAAGUAACAACACUUGUCAGCACCCCAUAAGGAACAUUCAUCCAUGUUUGGUUUCAUCUAUUUAUGGUUCUCUAAAGAAGUCAUUUGUAUGCAUUUCCAUAGGGUCCUAUGUCUAAACUAAGUCCCCGCUGGCGGCCAUUUGAUGAUGGAUCGGCAACAAAAUAACAACACUUGUCAGCACCUCAUAAGAACAUUCAUGCCAUGUUUGUUUCAUUCUAUUUAUGGUUCCUCUAAAAGAAUCAUUUUAUGCAUUUCCCUAGCGCCUAUGUUAACUAAGUCCCCUGCUGGCGCAUCUUGGAUGAUGGAUCGGCUACAAAGUAACAACACUUGGUCAGCACCUCAUAAGGAACAUUCAUGCCAUGUUUGGUUCCAUUCCAUUCAGUGGUUCUCUAGAAGAAGUUCAAAAUGUAAAUUGUUAACGACGACGACGACGGACGACGACGACGGACGACGACGGACGACGAGGACGCCAAGUGGUGAGAAAAGCUCACUUGGCCCUUCGGGCCAGGUGAGCUAAAAACCCAUUCACUUCAAGAAUGAAUCAGAAAAAUCAUAUCACCUUACAUACAUGAUUAAACGUAACAAUAUCAAAAUACUCGCUAUUAUUGAAAAUUAGUUCAAGACAAAUCACCAAUAAUUAAUAAGCUAACUUGUUAUGUUAACUUACAUUAAAAAUAACUUGCCAUGAGAACGAAGACAUCAAAUUACCUUCGAUUGUUUUCUAGUUGAAUCAUAUCACUGCCCACACAUAAGUCAUUAUCAGGAUUUCGAUUUCUUAAACUCAUAGUUUUCUUAUUUAAUGGUACCAUAUAAUUAGUGUUGAAAAAUACGAAUACAAUGGAAAUAUCUCUUCAUAAAAAUGGUGCAUCAUGUAUUGGCCAGCAAAAGGUCAGAUACAAUCUUUUCAAAUGUAUGGAUGUAUAAAAACAAGAGGCCUAUGCCAAUGAUAGACUGUAAAAGAAAAGUCAGGAUUGUCUACGGUAACCGUUGUCCGAAGAAGUUUGGAACUGUUUUAAUAAUAUCUAAUUUUAAUUGUAAUCUUUACAAAUCGAUAUUAUAACUCAAUUGAGAGUCUAUGCAUUGACUACGUGAUUUAUGAUACUAUGGAAAACUAACCUACUAUUUUUUGGAAGUAUAAUAGGUGCAAAUACAUUGUUAUAAAAAUCAACAAAAUCCAUUCUGAUUAUUUCAAGCCGUUCUUAUAUUAAACAGUUGAGCUCAUCUUUAGAUUGAAUUAGUUUUUGAUAGCAUUUAAUAGAUUUUUUCUUAAAACAUUUAAUCUCAAUUUGUGGUCAAUACAAGGAGAUUCAUAGAUAAAGCAUUACACAAAAGUCAAACGACACGAAUAAACAUUAACCGAUGCACAAAAUAUGGUUGAUAAUAAGCAAGUUAAAAAAAAAUACCGUAUCAUGAUAAAAUCAUGACAUUUUUGGCUAUGCAAGACAAAAUGUGAACAAUUGUGUGCAUGUCAAACCUAUGUUGCUAGGGUCUUUGUUUUAAUGUCGUUCAAAUUACAAUACAUGUUUAAAUUAAUGUAACGGGAGAACUUAAGGUUAUUUAAACACAACAUUACUAUUCAAAAUCAUAAACAUGAAACCAUACUUCAAGUAUGCUAUUGUUUCACUUUUUGAAUUUAUUUUUGUUUUAAUUGUAAAACGGUUGGAAAAAAAACUUUUAAUAUUUCUUUUUCUGUAAACGUUAUAACAAAAGGUAAAAUUACAAAAAUACUGAACUCCGACGCAUAUAGCAAAAAUGAAAGACAAGAACACAAAAGUUAUUCUUUACAUUUAUGCAUAUGGUUUAUUCUCAGAUAAUAAACAUUUAUGACCGAGUGAUAUACGUAGGUUUAUAAGUUUCUCGUCUUUUUAAAUAUAUUUUAAUUAAUUGUGAUCGCGAUGUUCCUGCCGGGAGUCGGGGUUCCUUCUUGGUAAUCACGGUUUCUAGGCUAACAAAACACAUAGCCGACAUGAUUUAUCAAGUAGCGUUAAAAAGAGCGUUAAAAACUAACAAUGAGUCAAUUAAAAACUAUGAAUAAUGAGUAUAAUCUAAUCGGUGUAAAUAUUAUAAAAUGUUUUCCAUGUUUUACGGUGUACAUAUUUGCCUGGCAGAGUUGAUCGGUAAACUUAUCGAUCUUUUAAAUACGAGUAUUCUAAAAGGUUGUCAAUUCACCUCUGUAAUUAUAUCACGGAACUUUGUUUUUAUUGGUAUAAAUAUUGAUUCUUUCAUCAGUAAAUAAAAGCAAACUAAAUAUUAUUGUUAUGUACAUAUUCACCUUUUUAUGGAUCUACAUUCUGUCGAUACUUGUAUCCUGGCAUAACAAAAAGUAAUGCUUUUCUCUAACUGUUUAUGAAGUUUUUACACUUAAUCUAUUGGAUGUGGAAUGUUAAAUGAUUGAUAAUUUUGUCUUAGAUACAUUAUUUUUUAAAUUAGUUGCUAGUGGCUUUGAGCUAGCAGUCAGUAACUUCGAAUACUCUCAGAUCAGUACUUAGUGCGUGUUUGUUGUUUGGAAAUACAAAUACUAAGUCACAUAACCUCCGUGUGUUUGUUACAUGGAUUCCUAAUUGUAUCCGUCUGAUGGGUUAGGCCGUUCUCAAUUUAUUGUCGGUACCGAAGCACCGACUACUGAGCUGAUAUUACCCUAAGGGACUAAUAAUCCACCAGCAGAGGUAUUGACUCUCAACGUUUUAACAGCUCAUCUCUACCAAAACGAGAAGAUUAUCUGUUUUUGUUUAAUAAGAUAUCGUGAUUAACCGUGAUUUGUAAAGUAGUAUAGCGCAUUUACUGAAUAGCUCGGAAUACACAUGGCACCAACUUGGUAGAAGAAAACAGUUUAACACAAAAAAAAAAUCAACACCUCCGAGCUUCUAUGUUCUUUGCAAAUCUUUGAUGCCCUCGGAAAAAAAAAUCCACCAUCAAAUAAAUUUCUCCUAAGAGAUACUUUACACAAUACAAUCUUGAUUGUAGCUAAAAUGCGUUACUUGAUAUGUAUAUAUAAAUAAAUUAUGCAAAACAACUCCAUGACUAUUUUCAUUUCAGAUUGUAAUAUAAAUUAAAAUGGGAAACAAUAACGAAAAGGUAAGGUAAAAUUCAUGUUACAAAUUGUAAGUAAUGCUAUUGAAUUGAAAAGGUACACUCAAGCUAAUACGAAAUACCUUAUUCAUCCAAAAUAAAUUAAAGAUAAAUAACCUUUGUAGAUUCCUUAAAUUAUAUAUGGACAUUCCAUUUUCUACAAGUCAGAAUUAUGUUAUUUGUUCUUUUUUGUUGUCUGUCAACGGUGGCAGAGUUUGGUUUUGUCAGUGUGUACGGACCCAACCGAAGAUAACAACCGACGCCCACCAAUGGGUCUACAACGCAUCGAGAAAAACCCUCACUGGGAAGUGGGUCCAAGUUGGUUUGUUAUAGAUAUAAAACAACCAUUUCAAUUGAACAGCUCUAAAGACAAUGGAUGAAAUACACAUCUUAUAUUUUCUGGCUUAUGAAGCGCUCCUAUUUACAGCAAAGUGAAAUGGAGAAUGGACAUGGAGAAAGUUUAAAAUUGACAACAACUCAAAGCCACCAAAUGGGUCUUCAUCACAGAAACUUAUGGCAGGCUACAGCUGACCCCUUAACAAAAAACUUUCUCCAGUCAAGGAGUCCUACAUUAGGUAUAAUGUUUUAUGGUUUGGGAUCAAGAAUAAACUAAUAAGAAUAGUUGAAAUCUAACAGAAUGUAUACUAUAUGCAUACGCUUAAAUGUAUACGGUAUUGUUGUGCAUUGUUUUUCUAAAUUGGCUAGAGGAAUAGGGGGACGGUUGAGAUAUAAAAAAACAUGUUUAACACCGCAGCAUUUUUGCGCCUGUCCAAUGUUUUUUUUUGUAAGUCAGGAGCCUCUGGCCUUUGUUAGUUUUGUAUGAUUUUUAAUUUUAGUUUCUAGUUUUUAAUUCUGAGUUUAGUAUGACGUCCAUUAUAACUGAACUAUAAUGAUUUACUUUUAUAAAUUGUUAUUUGGAUGAAGAGAUGUCUCAUUGUCACUCACACCACAUCUUCCUAUAUCUAUCUAGUAACAUAUUUGUUUAGAGGCAAGCUGAAUGAUCACUCCGUGUGCGGGAGUUUCCCGUCGCAUUGAAGACCCAUUGGUGGCCUUCUGCUCUUGCCUGCUCUAUGGUUAGCUGGAUGAAAAGACAUCAGAACAGCAGUUGUCUUUUCGGGACAUUAUAUUUUCAUAAUUGGUGUCAACAUAAAAAAAAGAGUAACAAUAUUUAUAUAGAUUUUCGUCUGACAUAAUAAAAAGCUACACAUUUAAGUGUUUUGAGAAUAUAUUUAAAAUGUUAAUCCACAUAUAGACCUUAAAAACUUUUUGUUUAUAUCGAUAGACAUUGUAGAUCAAUCAAGGCUGACUAGGAUAAGUCUAUUGAAACUAUAUGUAAAAGACAAAAGAACUUUAUCACGAAAACCUCUGCUAUCCAUACGUCUGGAAUAAUAAUUCACACACAAACAUGGUAUCGGAACAAUUAAACGACAAGAGCCCCAACAAGAUAUCGCGGUUGAACAUUUAUGUUUUGUUAGAGUAACACAAUGUUCAAUCUCAACUUUUCUUGCUAAAUGUGAAAGGUCAAAUAAAAAAAUAAGAAAAAUAAACCCAGUAUACGAAACAAAUUUUCCGACUUAUGGACAUGGUGAACAAGCUGACUAUUUAAAGUCUGCUAUUAAUACAAUUUUCACAUUGCUUAUAUUUCACUUUUAUACCUAUUUCUUCGCUUCGUGUAGCUGGAAAUUGUUGACCAUGAAAAACCUGAUGAUUGUGAACAGCUGAAAAAAUGUUUAAAAAAGGCGAUGGAUGAGAAAAAGAUGGUUAUACUAGCAUUAGGCGACAGAGACAAAGAUUGGAUAAAAGAUGCGAGGUGUAAUGAAAAAAUAGUUAUGGUUGACUGCAAAUCCUUGUAUGAUGAACAGGUAACCAUUUGUAACCAUCUUAUAAGGAUACUGUGUUAAUAUAACACACGGACAUAAAAGUCGUAAAUAUCACUUUUCUGUUACAAAAUAUGACGAACAACUGUACAAUUGACCAUUUAAAGCACUAUUUGGUUUGCAAUAAGUUACAUGUAUUAUUGUCGACUUUCUUUAAAGUAGAAUACACUACAAUACAUAUGUAAUGGACGUGUCAAUAAGCUGAACCUUUUACUUGACCAAACAGGCAGAAAUAAUUUAACAUUUUAUCUUGUAAGACAAUUUUUGUUGAAAAGGUCAACGUUUUCGACUCUUCUAAUCUUGUUGUCUAUGAAAUCAGAUAUACAUACUUUUCUUAUUGCUUGAUUUGACAGGUAUUAUUUCUCAGAGUUGAGUUAUUACUAAUAUCAGGAACUUUAAAUUUAAAUACUGUCUAUGUUUCAGAUGAAGCGUUCAACGUCACAACCUGUUUGUCCCGAUUUGUCGGAACAGGUAAGCAUCUAAAAACAUAGAUGGCAAAAAAUGGAUAGAUGAGUUCAUUGUUAAUACAUGCUUUUUCUUGUCAUUACGUUAAUGUUUUUGUUGUCACAAAUCGUAUAAUUUGGUUUAUAUGGCAAUAAAAAGUUUGAUGUGAUAUGAUUUGUUAAUACGAAGUUCUGUUAGGAAUUUUGUAUAUCAAUGCUCUUCAACUUCGUACUUUAUUUGGCUUUUUUUUAAACUUUUUGAAUUCGAGCGUCACUGAUGAGUCUUUUGAAGACGAAACGCGCGUCUGGCGUAUAUAUAAAAUUUAGUCCUGGUAUCUAUGAUGUGUUUAUUUAUAGGCCAAAUUUAUCUAAAAACAAAGUAUUUCUUAAACUCAUUUAAAACAAAACACAAUGGUAUAACAAAGUAUAUUUAACCUAUUCUGGAAAUGUUCAAAUUUAAAGCACAAGGAUCAUUUAUGAGUUCUACUAUAUAAACGUCAAAUGUAAUGAACAAGAAAGAAAUGUUCAACGCAGCAGCAAUAUUCUGUUAAUAUGAUAAUUGGGCAAACUAAAUCUAGAAUUUAAAACUGAACAUUUGAAGACUUGAUGAAAGAAAAAAAAUCAUUGCAGCUUUAUAAAUGAUACAAAAGAAUUGAACAAUUUGAGAUUGUAAUUGAAUUUUUCAUAAAAAUGUCAAGUCAUACACAUAUCAUAAAAAACAUACGGGAAAAGCUUAUAUUGAAUAGAAAUAUCACAAAAUACAUUAAAUGAACAGUAUGGUAAUGAUUAAAUAUUCGUUCGAAUGGAAAAAGUUUGGCUUCAAGAAAAGAAGGACUAGCUGAUAAAUUGAGGUAACAGAAAAUUGCCUAUGUUCAGAAAUAAAAAUGAAAGUUUUCACACUUAUAAAGUAGUCAACAAUUGCCCUAAACUUAAGAAAUAAUAGACAUAUUCAUAUAUUUGUAUUUACGAUACAUGAACAUAUUGUAGACACAAUGUGCUGAAGAUGAAAUUGACAAAACGUUAGCUAGUUUAAAAACACGGAUUGGAGAUACACCAACUGUUCAGAAGGAAAGGUUUGUGAAUUGGGGUAAGACACAAUCUAUGGAGGUUAUUUCGUCUUCCCCUACAACAAAAGAAGAACUUCAAAAGUUGGUGUUAGCAGCAUCUGAAGAAGGUCUGAGUGUAAGAUGUGCUGGAAGAGGUCACAGCUGGGCUCCAUUAUUCUCGGACAGUAAUCAACUACUUAUUCAUGUAGAAGAUAUGAAAAGCGAUUACAAGGAUGGGUCUAAAAUUAGAAUAUCUGAUGUAAGCGUUAUUACACAAGUAUAUAAAAAAAUGUAUGCUUUGAAAACGUUAAUUAGACAUACAAAAUCGAAAUGAUUCUGAGGACAAUAAUCGGUCCAUCACAUUAGGGUCCAUUCAAUAUAUCAAAAGAAAUUUAGUAUAUUGUGGAUUAUAUAAAAAAGACAACAAAGAGAAGAUAACACCUACAUGGAUCGGAUGUGUUGUGAUAAAUAACAUCAUCAACGAUACACGGCUAUAUAAUUUGGACGUUAGUUGCGAGUAUUGUCUAACCAAGGUUGAUAGUGAUUCUCGAUUCAUAAAUUUAGAACAGUCAAAUCAAGUACAAUUACUAUUUUAUAAAUCAAGUAUGAAUAAAUGAUUCUAUAACAACACCUAUUAAAAUCCUGUCACGAUUUCUUGAUUUCCGAAGAAAAACAGACCUCAUUAUAUACAUAACCAGACUUAAUAUUUUUUUUGAAAAUGGUCAUGGCAUGUUCGUUUAUACUCUUGUUAUAAAAUGAAAAAUAAUAUUAUAUUAACGGCAUUUCAGCGUGAAAAAGGAGAAGUGGACAUUAUGACCGGAGCUACGACUGGAGAAUUUAAAAAGUUCCAACUAGAACACAAAGUGAAUAUACCUGGUAAUGCUGUUUUAGAUUGUGUUCAUAUGGUCAGUGUUGUAGCAACAGGUUGUCAUGUAAGUUUUCUUUUAAAUCAAUGUGUUGAGUGUUGAAUAUAAAAGCAUUCCAAUAUUAACUUCUUAUAGAAAUAUGUUCCAUGUAUUGCUAAGGUUAUAUUUAGGUACUGGGGGGGGGGGGUGACAUGACCAAUUAUUCGGCCCCAGAAGGAAAUUAAUAUAAAAAACAAACUUUAUUAUUAUACAUUACAUAUAUUUCAAACAAUUCUAUCACGUGACAUGGAAUAAUUCAGUUAAUUUUCAUUCAAUUGCAAGGAAGGACGAAUAACCCUAAAAAAAAUCCACCAGCGGUGAAUGACCCUAUUAAUCACCGGCGAAUAACCUUUUUAGUUAGCUGAUUUGUGGCCGUUUUUGGCACAACUUUUUUGAAAUUUUGGUCCUCGAUGCUGUUCAACUUUGUACUUGUUUUGGCUUUCAAACUUUUGUAUCUGGGCCUCACUAGUAAGUCUUGUGAGGAGAAAACGCACUUCUGGCGUAUUAAAUUUUAAACCUGGUGCCUUUUGUUAGCUAUUAUUUAUUUGUUUCUUUGUCAAUUGUGUUUUCCUAUUUAUUUUUAUUGUAGUCCUGUAAUGUUGUGUUGUCAUUUUAAUGUUAUAUUUAACAUGGCAAUAAAAGAGGCGGUUUUGCAUGCCACAAAACCAGGUUCAACCCAACAUUUUGUUCUUUAAAAAAUUUCCUGUACCAAGUCAGUAAUAUGUAAUAGUUCGUUUCUGUGUGUGAAAUUAUCUUAGAGUUCGGGGUUUUUGUUCUACGUUUAGACAUAUACUGUAUAAAUAUAUAGUUCGUAUGAAAUUUAGUUAAACAGUGUCAGAUCUGCAAAUCUGCUAGUCCUAAUUUUUUUCCUUUCCUAAGCGGGUUUCAAAUUCAUGCUUCUUUGAAAUUUUUAGGCUGCAUUUGAGAUGAAGUAAACACAAAUUAUGGUUUAAGCCCUGCAUUACCACAGGUAAUGACAUGUACAUUUAUGCCAUACAGUUUUUUAAUUUAUAGAUGGUUAUACGUAUAACAGUUGUUUAAUUUACAGAUGGUUAUAUGUAUAACAUGUAAUAUUUUGUUCAUAUAGGGUGUUGGAAAGGAUGUACAGACACCAGGUGAUGAUUUAGUGAGAAUGCGCGUAAUCGGAAGCGAUGGUAAACUGCGAACCUAUACAUCAGACGACAAAGAGAUGUUGAAAGCGAUAAGUUCAAACCUUGGAUGUUUUGGAGUUAUAUUCGACAUGACAAUAAAAUAUGUCCCUGAAGUUAUCGUAAAAGUAGAAAAUCGGUACGAGCCACUAAAAGAGUUAUUCUACAAACCUGAUAGUUUACAAAACCUAUUUGAGGAAAACUGGUCAGUUCAGAUUCUUUGGUUUCCUUACAACUCACUCUGCGUUUUUGAUUACGAUCCAAAAGAUGAUGAAUUAUGGAUCCGUGUAAUUAACAAAAAACCGAAGGACACAAAGAAAGUAAAGACAGAAACCCAAACAUACUACGACUGGAAAGAAACGAAAGAUUGUUUGACCGCAGAAGGAUUGUCGAUCGUGUCAUCAGUAGUAGUUGGAAAUCCUUCUUUGACUCCAUGGUUUGCGUGGGCAGCCUUUGGAAGUUUGAAGCAUAUCGUAUUUCCCAAAGGUCCACUGUAUCAGGAACUUCCUCACGCUGUUCAUUUUAGGUAAGACUGUUUCAUAUUUAUGAUUAAACCCCUAGAUAUGGAUAUGUUAUCGCAAUAACAUAACAUAGGCUACUAAUGUCAAACGAGGCACAGGCCAGGGAAGGAUUUCAACAUAACAAUAUUUGGCACAAGUAAUCCUAUACAUGCGUUUUCCAUGAAAAUCUAAUUGUAUAAUAAUGAAUAGAUAUAAUUUGUUUGGAAUAAGCUGAUUGAGUGGUUGGUAAUAUUUUAUGACAAUAAAAAUAUGAAGUAAUUUGAAUAUUUUUAAAACAUUUCUACGUAUUUGUGUUUUAUGGCAACAAUGUCGGACGCAUGCACGGUAUUUAAAUACAAAAUGACCUGUUUGAUUUUAUAGAAUGCAUCUUUGCUUAAUAACAUGUAGUACAUAUUUCAUUUGUAAGUUUAAAUUAUAGUUAUUUCGUUUCAAGGUAAACUGUAUUUAGCUAUGAUAUUCCAGUAAAAAAUACUUUUAAAUAGGUAACUCAUUAAUUAUUUGAUACCUUAAAAUUACUUUCACAGACAGUUUACUCAUAAGGCCCCUGUGAAUUGCAUGGAGUUUGCGUUCGACUACAAUCCUCAACGACUGCAGAAGAUUAUUCAAGUCGUGGUGGAAAAAGUAGAUCAUCACGAAGAUAAAGAUGAGUAUCCAUUGAACCUUGUUAUGGAAAUGCGCCUGAUGGGUUACAGGUAAAUAUAAACAAAGAAAUAACGUUAGUAUUUAUAUAAACACGUUUUCAAUAUUUUGUCAACAUAACACCAAUCCUUAAUUAUUUGAAUAAGUACUAUAACCUUACUAUCUUACUACAUACAGGAACAUUAUUGUGGCAAAAUAGGCAACUGUCUACCUCUUAAUUUUAAAAUGUGAUGUUGUAUUUUGUUUUUUCAAAGGUGUCUUUUAAUUAUAAAUUCUUAAUUUAAUUACAGUGACUCAUUUCUUUCUCCUGCUAUAAUCGGAAAUCCAGCAUAUGGUGGAUCUGGUUGCACUUUUACAAUAGAAGUUUUAAGUAUUGUCGACACCAAAGGAUGGAAAAAGUUUGCCACAGACGUAGGAAAAGAGUGGAUGGCUUUAGAUGGUGUUCCACAUUUAGCAAAGCAGUGGGACUUUCUUCCUGGUAUUGAGGAUCAUAUCUACAAGGUAAGAAAUAAAGAGAAGCUAUGUGAUUAGAAAAGUGAAAUUGAAACUUGAAUUAAAGACCAAAAUUUUUGUCUGGUCAGCAACAUUAUUGAUACCAUCAGUCCGUCAGCAGCUAUAGAAAGUACACAAUUAUAUUAUUGAAUUACUUUGACAAACAAACUUGAGAAUGCAAAUGGGGAAUGUGUCAAAGAGACAACAACCCGACUAUAGAACAGACAACAGCAGAAGGUCACCAGUAGGUCUUCAAUGCAGCGAGAACUUCCCGCAUCCAGAGGCGCCCUACAGUUUGGCCCUAAACAAAUAUAUAUAUACUAGUUCAGUGAUAAUGAACGUCAUACUAAACUUCAAAUUAUAGACAAGAAACUAGAAUUAAAAAUGAUACAAGACUGACAAAGUCCAAAAACUUGUUUAAAUUCAUGUAAGACACAAAGUGCAUUCUAUUAAUUUUUUUACACUUACAUUUAAUAUUUAUUCAGCUUUUGGGCAUUUAAUUUAGAAAACCAAAAUCACCAUGUUUUUGCAUUAAUUAUCAAUGAAUCAACACAAGCAAUUUAUCAUAUGGUCUACCCCAUUUGACAAACCGGACUAGUUUUCUCGUUUUAAUUGUUUUAGAUUUAUCAUUUUGAGGCUUUUUAAAGCUCCCUAUACGGUAUGGGCGUUGCUCAUUGUUGAAUGCUAUAAGGUGACCUAUAGCUGUUAUUGUCUGUGUCAUUUUGGUUUCUUGUUGGGAGUUGUAAAGUUGACAAUUAAACCACGUCUUUUUUUAAUAUGUAGAAUUGCAUUGCCAUUUAAGCGCUGUUGCCACGAUUUCUUAGAAGCUUGAAAUUACAUCUUGCGAAGGAAUGAAAUAUUUUACAAUGCUAGAUCUUGCCCAUUAAUCAUUACUGUUGUAGUCUAAGUAUAUAAAAAAAGAAGAAGAUGUGGUAAGAAUUUAAAAGUUACAACUCUGUACCAGAUCUUAUGUAAUUAGCUAUAGGUCACAGCAUAGCAAAAUAUGAUCGGACGAAGAAUGUUUGUCCUAUAACGUUUUACGCUAAACACUCAUUAUCCUAUGAUCAACAUUUAGGGCCUUAAAUAGCUGACUAUACGAUAUUGGUGUUGUUCAUUGUUGACCUAUAUGUUAAUUUCUGUAUCAUAUUGGAUCUAAUGGAGAGCUGUGUCAUUGGCAAUCAAAUCACAUCUUCGUUUUUUUUAUAUCAGAGUUAAGAUCUUCUAUCGUUUUUGGCAUUGACAUUAUAUUAACUCCAAAAAUAUGAAAUAAAUUUUUAUUGAUUAACCAUGUAUAACAUAAACUCUUCUUUCCAAAUCUUGCAGCAUAUGGGACAACAUAUCGACGCAUUCAAGGAGCAGCUGACGAAGUCUGGCGCUGAUCCAAAUGGAAUGUUUCUCAAUAAAAGCAUCCGAAAACUGUUAAGACUGUAGCAUGUCUGACCUAAACUUGACGAAUGUGUGUGCUGUGAUAUUUUGAAGUAAUUUGCCAAAUUAUAGAAACUGAGCCUUUUUUUGUUAUGAAUAAAA
RNAcentral lists this long non-coding RNA (15664 nucleotides) under Mytilus galloprovincialis (Mediterranean mussel). Lineage: Eukaryota; Metazoa; Mollusca; Bivalvia; Mytilida; Mytilidae. The record is from RNAcentral.